AUUGAACGCUGGCGGCAGGCUUAACACAUGCAAGUCGAGCGGGGGAAGGUAGCUUGCUACCGGACCUAGCGGCGGACGGGUGAGUAAUGCUUAGGAAUCUGCCUAUUAGUGGGGGACAACAUCUCGAAAGGGAUGCGAAUACAGCAUACGUCCUAUGGGAGAAAGCAGGGGAUCUUCGGACCUUGCGCUAAUAGAUGAGCCUAAGGCGGAUUAGCUAGGUGGUGGGGUAAAGGCCUACCAAGGCGACGAUCUGUAGCGGGUGCGCGAGGAUGAUCCGCCACACUGGGACGGAGAAACGGCCCAGACUCCUACGGGAGGCAGCAGUGGUUAAUAUGGGACAAUGGGGGGAACCCUGAUCCAGCCAUGCCGCGUGUGUGAAGAAUGCCUUAUGGUUGUAAAGCACUUUAAGCGAGGAGGAGGCUACUUUAGUUAAUACCUAGAGAUAGUGGACGUUACCCGCAGAAUAAGCACCGGCUAACUCUGUGCCAGCCGCCGCGGUAA
RNAcentral lists this ribosomal RNA (501 nucleotides) under uncultured bacterium. RNAcentral describes it as "partial 16S ribosomal RNA". It matches the Rfam family "Bacterial small subunit ribosomal RNA", at positions 30 to 523 of the family's 1533-position model. The record is from RNAcentral.